This 337-nucleotide unclassified non-coding RNA is filed under the name soil metagenome. Its description in RNAcentral is "partial contains 5.8S ribosomal RNA, internal transcribed spacer 2, and large subunit ribosomal RNA". The stretch from base 1 to 119 matches the Rfam family "5.8S ribosomal RNA", at positions 36 to 154 of the family's 154-position model. The record is from RNAcentral.
AUGAAGAACGCAGCGAAAUGCGAUAAGUAGUGUGAAUUGCAGACUUUAGUGAAUCAUCGAAUCUUUGAACGCACAUUGCGCCCCUUGGUAUUCCAUUGGGCAUGCCUGUUCGAGCGUCAUUUACAACCUCAAGCUCCGCUUGGUGUUGGGUGUCUGUCUGCGCUUCUUGCGAAGACUCGCCCUAAAUCUAUUGGCAGCGGCAUCGCCGGCUUCUCGCGCAGUACAAUGCGUUAUGGAAGGCUACCGGCGGGCUUGCGUCCAUCAAGUAACCCCCCAAGUUUGACCUCGAAUCAGGUAGGGAUACCCGCUGAACUUAAGCAUAUCAAUAAGCGGAGGA